This 253-nucleotide ribosomal RNA is filed under the name uncultured bacterium. Its description in RNAcentral is "partial 16S ribosomal RNA". It matches the Rfam family "Bacterial small subunit ribosomal RNA", at positions 524 to 776 of the family's 1533-position model. The record is from RNAcentral.
UACGUAGGGCGCAAGCGUUAUCCGGAAUUAUUGGGCGUAAAGAGCUCGUAGGCGGUUUGUCGCGUCUGCCGUGAAAGUCCGGGGCUCAACUCCGGAUCUGCGGUGGGUACGGGCAGACUAGAGUGAUGUAGGGGAGACUGGAAUUCCUGGUGUAGCGGUGAAAUGCGCAGAUAUCAGGAGGAACACCGGUGGCGAAGGCGGGUCUCUGGGCCGAUACUGACGCUGAGGAGCGAAAGCCAGGGGAGCGAACGGG